AUCCAGCUGAUGAGUUCCAAAUAGGAUGAAACACGCGUCCUGGAU
Schistosoma rodhaini is the source of this 45-nucleotide non-coding RNA. The record is from Rfam. NCBI's taxonomy places the organism in Eukaryota, Metazoa, Platyhelminthes, Trematoda, Strigeidida, Schistosomatidae.